RNAcentral lists this ribosomal RNA (122 nucleotides) under Pteropus vampyrus (large flying fox). Lineage: Eukaryota; Metazoa; Chordata; Mammalia; Chiroptera; Pteropodidae. The record is from RNAcentral.
GUCUGCGACCAUUCUACCCUGAACAAGCCCGAUCCCGUCUGAUCUUGGAAACUAAGCAGGGUCAGGCCUGGUUAGUACUUGGAUAGGAGACAGCCUAGGAAGAAGACCAGGUGCUGUAGGCA